Molecule: non-coding RNA, 113 nt
Organism: Acanthosepion pharaonis
Lineage: Eukaryota; Metazoa; Mollusca; Cephalopoda; Sepiida; Sepiidae
Source: the annotation of a GenBank genome assembly
AUACGGCCACAUCACGUUGAAACACGGGUUCCCGUACGAUCACCGAAGUUAAGCAACAUCGAGCCUCAUCACUACCAAGAUGGGAUCCGCUUGGAAUUACCAGGUGGUGUAAG